UGGGGUAUUAGUUUAGUGGUAAAAUACUGCACUGUCUAUGCAGAGUCAGGGGUUCGACUCCCCUAUACCUCGUUAG
This 76-nucleotide transfer RNA is filed under the name Bacillus phage vB_BspM_MarvelLand. RNAcentral describes it as "tRNA-Asp". It matches the Rfam family "tRNA". Rfam says of the family: Transfer RNA (tRNA) molecules are approximately 80 nucleotides in length. Lineage: Duplodnaviria; Heunggongvirae; Uroviricota; Caudoviricetes; Herelleviridae. The record is from RNAcentral.